Molecule: non-coding RNA, 84 nt
Filed under: uncultured Henriciella sp.
Lineage: Bacteria; Pseudomonadati; Pseudomonadota; Alphaproteobacteria; Hyphomonadales; Hyphomonadaceae
Description: Glycine riboswitch
Rfam family: Glycine riboswitch aptamer
About the family: This family represents the bacterial glycine riboswitch. Glycine riboswitches usually consist of two metabolite-binding aptamers domains with similar structures in tandem. The aptamers cooperatively bind glycine to regulate the expression of downstream genes.
Source: RNAcentral
CCCGGGAGAGAGCAGGCUGUUUUUUUAGUCUGCCGCCGAAGGCGCAACCGCCCCGGAAACGCUCAGGCAAAAGGACCGGGAAGG